UUUCAAGGAGCUGUGGGUGGAAUGACUAGUUUCUUCCUCUUCAUGGUCAUCUUCUCCAAGUGUCUUUUCUAAGGAUCUGAAGCUUUAUCCAAGAGGAACUGUAAGAUUUCACAUCGAUGAGAGGAGGCAUUUGUCCGUGAAACAGUGACAGUGAGAAAUUACAAGCAGCUCUGCUCUAGCCCUACUCUGUGUGUGGAGACAGACUAUCAAACCUGGUGGACCAGAAAUAGGAUAUGGAGCAAUUUUGCUUUUUUUACUGCUGUUCCUGUGAACUGAAGGAAUCUGUGAAUUAUACCAGGACAUUUGCAUUCCCAUGUAAUCUUUUCUGAGAGAUCCUUUUUAUGAAUUUGCUAGAGGCAGUAGGAGCCACAAAGGACCUUUUUCAGACUGUAGAUGACCUCAUGCUAAGAAGAGAGGAUGCAAAGCACAAAGCUUCUGAGGUACCCAUGCGGCACUACAUGGAAGCUAGGCAGAUCUGAGAAGUGGGAAGUCAAGCAGGCAGCCCAAAGGCACCACAGCCAGAAGAGAAACAGGAGGAGGAUGUGGAAAUAAUUGGAAAUCCCUGGGUUCCAGAAAGUCAGCAGAGAACAUGCCAGCACCCUUAAGCUAAGGAGGGACCUGGAAGAGGGUGCAGUUUGCAUAGUUGGAAGGAGAGAGGGAAGUGCAUGUUAAUAAGGCAGCGCGAAGGUCUGUGAACUGCAGGAGAGGCAUUCGAGGUGGGAACCGCACCCUGUCUCUAAUUCCCUCAUCUAAUCUGGCUGCAGCAGGAGCCCACACAGAAAAUCUCUUUCAAUCCCCUUACUGUUAUCCAGCUCCACACUGCUUUUGGGCUCUGCAAAUGGCUAAAACAUGAAGCAUGGGUGGUUUGUGUGUGCUGUGUUUCGUGUCAGGUUAUAAAGCUUUGAAGUUGAAAACUUGUUUUUAAAAGAAAUUUCCUCAUGUUGUGAAGAACAAAGCAGAAAAUUUGCUACCUGAAACAGCCCCUGUAACAGUUAAUUACCAAAUGCAAAUGGCUUAUUGGACUAAUCCAGGAAAAAACCCAAACAACUUCUUAAGAAAAAGGCUGUACAUUUAGAAGAUUUAUAUUCUUCUCCCUUGAGAACAGUGCACAAGCAAUAUGGAUGUUCCCAGCUCUGCUGGCUACAUGCAGCCUGAUGGUUUUUGUCAUACUCUGGCAGCAGCAGGGAAGUCUGCUCUAGGCCAAGCAGAAGAGUUUUAGCUUGUUCUGCAGGACACUUGGCUGGAGCAAGGAAGCUCCUUUAUAGCCCAAGACUUCAACAGGUUAUUUCAUAUGUCAGUUCAGCCAGUGCAGAGAGAGUGAAGAUCACCCUCAAAUGCCCCUUCUUGGAAAGUCCCCUGAAAGGGGGGACUUCCCAGCUUUAGAGUACUGCCAAAACAUCCUACUUCUGCAAACUCUUCCAGAAGAAAUACUUUUUAGGACUGUGUGCAUUUCCUUGGGAUAUUCAUCUGGGAAAAUUUAGGAUAAUUUCUUUAAUCAGGCAUUGUGGCUGGGGCAGGGGGAAUUGGGGAGCCACAUGACCCCUCCUUCAUAUAUUUGUCUGC
Pseudopipra pipra is the source of this 1563-nucleotide long non-coding RNA. RefSeq lists it as uncharacterized. The transcript has 5 exons. Lineage: Eukaryota; Metazoa; Chordata; Aves; Passeriformes; Pipridae. The record is from RefSeq and is a predicted model, not a curated record.